UUUUGACGGAGAGUUUGAUCCUGGCUCAGGACGAACGCUGGCGGCGUGCUUAACACAUGCAAGUCGAACGCUGAAGCUUGGUGCUUGCACUGGGUGGAUGAGUGGCGAACGGGUGAGUAAUACGUGAGUAACCUGCCCUUGACUCUGGGAUAAGCCUGGGAAACUGGGUCUAAUACUGGAUA
Molecule: ribosomal RNA, 182 nt
Filed under: Kocuria rhizophila
Lineage: Bacteria; Bacillati; Actinomycetota; Actinomycetes; Micrococcales; Micrococcaceae
Description: partial 16S ribosomal RNA
Rfam family: Bacterial small subunit ribosomal RNA
Source: RNAcentral